CAGAGGCAGGGAGGUCGAAACCCGUGUCUGGGCACGAAGUUGGAUUUAAGUCCCGGUUUAGUCUGAGAUCUACGGCUCUCUCGCCGGCAACGGCGACGGGAACGAUAGCAAGAUCGAGUCUAAGGAGAGAAAGGACCUCGGCGAGAUCCGAUGAAUGAGCCGCCGCGGGUAUGAAUGGUGCCCUCGGCGGCGGUGUAACGAGUGGAAAAGCGAAGGGUCAAUUCUCACGAAACUGGUGCGCCGUAUAAAACGUGUUUUUACGAAUUAAUAAUCGUCGGCCAAUUUCUAAUCACGCGCGGAGGGGACCUUUACUUUGAAGCUGGCCUAAAUACCGCGGGACCUUUCGAACGCGUCGGCGAACGUUCCGUGACGGAAGCAGAGAUUUUUAUUGGUUAUUUUACGAAAUGUGAAUCAGCAAGAGGACAAAAACGGUCGCAAUUAAAAUCAAAACAAUAUGGAGGAUUAAUAAAGUCCUGAUUGCCACGUUACGUUACAUAACUUACCAGGACUUGUCAGGGGUUAAUAUCAUUUUAUAUAAGCUGAAUAAUUGUUCAGAAUUAAUCUGAUUAGGACCAUAGAAUAAAUUUCUAGUUGAUCACACAAAAUUUCUACCACGUCGAGUUACAUUGCUCGACGAAAAGUGGAGCAAUGCCUAACCUAGCGAUGGAACACUAAUCCACAGCGACGUACGAAUAAUAUAAAUAAACAUAGCACAAUACAUAUGCAAUUGUGACUCACCUAUCACUCCUCCGGUCGUUCACUCGACGAGAAGUACUGAAGAUCCACGCUUCCGAGAGCAGUAUUUCGCGACGAAAUUAAAUGAAAUACACGUCUUGCGAAAGCUAUAAACCAGAUUGACGUACCAAAGAAUGUUUCUAGUGACGAAAAUCAAGUCGAGUUUACAAGCGGUUUUGCUGCUGCAUUUCUAAAAAAGAAAACAGUUUCUAUGGCAUCUUCAAGUAAGCAACGGACAAAUAGCGAGAUGAUCGAAAUGGAAAUUAAGAAUUAUUUAAAUACGUCGCUACCGGAUAUGAGUGUGGAUCCUUUGUUAUGGUGGAAAGAUCACGAAAUACAUUUUCCAAUAUUAAGCAAAACAGCAAAAAAAUAUCUCGCUGUUCAAGGAACGAGUGUAGCAUCGGAAAGAGUUUUUAGCAAGAGCGGAAAUAUAAUUACAGAGGAACGUACACGCCUAACAGGACAGCAUGCAAGUGAACUCAUUUUUCUGGCUAUGAACAAACCUUUUGUUUCUAUGCCAAAUUAAUGUUAAACUAUUAAUCAUUUAUGUCUCAAUGUUCCAAUACAUAUAUGUUAUAUGCAAAUAUAAAAUAUUAAAUUGGAUAUUA
Molecule: long non-coding RNA, 1343 nt
Organism: Odontomachus brunneus
Lineage: Eukaryota; Metazoa; Arthropoda; Insecta; Hymenoptera; Formicidae
Exons: 4
Source: RefSeq, a predicted model, not a curated record